GUCCUAGCUGUAAACGAUGACAACUAGGCGUGGGAGGUAUCGACCCCUUCCGUGCCGAAGCUAACGCAUUAAGUUGUCCGCCUGGGGAGUACGGCCGCAAGGUUAAACUCAAAGGAAUUGACGGGGCCCGCACAAGCGGUGGAGCAUGUGGUUUAAUUCGACGCUACGCGAAGAACCUUACCUGGGCUUGAAGUGCUAGUGGUACCCUUUUGGAAACAUGAGGGGACCCGCAAGGGAGCUAGCAGAGGUGCUGCAUGGCUGUCGU
RNAcentral lists this ribosomal RNA (265 nucleotides) under uncultured bacterium. RNAcentral's name for it is "partial 16S ribosomal RNA". It matches the Rfam family "Bacterial small subunit ribosomal RNA", at positions 793 to 1055 of the family's 1533-position model. The record is from RNAcentral.